UCGCCUUCUCUAAAUCUUUUAUUGACCUAUAGUCUCUACAAUGAAUUGUAAAUAUUAAUCGAACUUUCGGUAUCCAAUACCUAUGUAGUAGUAUCACAAACAGAAAAAUUAUAAGGAGUUCUUUGGCCUGUUUAGGUCAAGGAUAGGUUUAUAAGCCAGACAAUUCUUUUUUCAAUGAUCUAGCUUCUUACAAAAGAAGUAUUCUAUCUAGCUCUUGUCGACUUUUGACUUUUCACUCUGCUUUAGUUUGGGAUCGAUAGUAUGAUUUUUUUACAUCUUCUUCUUCUUCUUUUCUCUCUUAGAGGAUCGACGACCUGUAGACGAACCUCCCACUACAUGCACUGGCUUCUUCUAGAACUGAUGGUCCUUCUCGAAUGUCUACAGCAAUCCUAGCAAACCCUGAUAGUUUACUGCAGGCUUGGUCAAUUCUAUAAUGACUCGAGAAGGGUAGGUAGGAUUUUGGUAGCAAAUUGAGGAUAGCAUCCUUGUCUAACUGUUCAUAUAAUGGAAAGCCAAGUUUACUUAAACGUUCAAUCUGCUCAAUCAUGUACAACACAUGAUCAGUAAUUGAUGCCCCCUCUCGCAUACGGGCAUUGAACACUGCAUAAGAAGUUUUAUAUCUCUUUGUAUCCUUUGAGGUGCUGAAGGACUCAUUCAAUAUUUAAAUCAUAUCCUCUGGUUGUGCAUCCUCAAAUUUAUGGCUAAGUUCAUCGUUCAUGGUUGUCCUCAUAAUGUAAUGCACUGUCGUGCGGUCACUAAGCCACUUCAAGUAUCUCUCAUAGCAUGAGAUAUAUUGGCAGCAGAUUCUUCAGGUGAUGGAUCCAUAAGCAUGUACAGGAUCCUCUCAUAUUUCAAGACAAUCUUCAACUUUCGAUACCAACUAUCAAAGUUGGGUCGGAUAAGCUUGUCGCUAUCCAAUAGCGAACAGAGCGAUAGUAUGUUGGCCAUAGCUGAAAAGAAAAAAAUAUAAAUCUAUUAGUAUAUUAAUUAUUUUAAUCCUAAAGAUAUGGACUUUAGUCUAAAGGCUCUCUCACUAUUUUAUAUGAAUUAAUAGCCUCUACCUCCAAUUCGAAGAAUUAUAUUAAUUUUUUAGCAGAUACUAGAAUCCACACAGACUACAUUCGGGUCCGAGUAUGGCUCGGCCAAUCCUAGUGCAUUAUGGAUAGGUUUAUAACCAAUUAUUUCUCUAAACAACUUCUAACAAUUAGAUAUUGCCCCA
RNAcentral lists this long non-coding RNA (1219 nucleotides) under Elaeis guineensis (African oil palm). Its description in RNAcentral is "long non-coding RNA (EGUI_LNC027368)". Lineage: Eukaryota; Viridiplantae; Streptophyta; Magnoliopsida; Arecales; Arecaceae. The record is from RNAcentral.